CCUGACUGCUAUCGGAUUGAUACUAAGCCAUGCGAGUCUUUGCAGUAAUGCAAGGCAUACGGCUCAGUAACACGUAGUCAACUUACCCUAUGGACGAGGAUAAUCUCGGGAAACUGAGCAUAAUACUCGAUAGAUCAUAAUGCCUGGAAUGGUUUAUGGUUGAAAUGAUUCGUCGCCAUAGGAUGGGACUGCGGCCUAUCAGCUUGUUGGUGAGGUAAUGGCCCACCAAGGCGAUUACAGGUACGGGCUCUGAGAGGAGAAGCCCGGAGAUGGGUACUGAGACAAGGACCCAGGCCCUAUGGGGCGCAGCAGGCGAGAAAACUUUGCAAUGUGCGAAAGCACGACAAGGUUAAUCCGAGUGAUUUCUGCUAAAGAAAUCUUUUGCAAGUCAUAAAACCACUAGUGAAUAAGGGGUGGGCAAGUUCUGGUGUCAGCCGCCGCGGUAAAACCAGCACCUCAAGUGGUCAGGAGGAUUAUUGGGCCUAAAGCAUCCGUAGCCGGCUCUGUAAGUUUUCGGUUAAAUCCAUGUGCUCAACGCAUGGGCUGCCGAAAAUACUGCAUAGCUAGGGAGUGGGAGAGGUAGACGGUACUCGGUAGGAAGGGGUAAAAUCCUUUGAUCUAUCGAUGACCACCUGUGGCGAAGGCGGUCUACCAGAACACGUUCGACGGUGAGGGAUGAAAGCUGGGGGAGCAAACCGGAUUAGAUACCCGGGUAGUCCCAGCUGUAAACGAUGCAGACUCGAUGAUGCAUUGGCAUAUAGCCAGUGCAGUGUCGCAGGGAAGCCGUUAAGUCUGCCGCCUGGGAAGUACGUACGCAAGUAUGAAACUUAAAGGAAUUGGCGGGGGAGCACCACAAGGGGUGAAGCCUGC
This 870-nucleotide ribosomal RNA is filed under the name uncultured archaeon. Its description in RNAcentral is "bacterial SSU rRNA". It matches the Rfam family "Archaeal small subunit ribosomal RNA", at positions 21 to 898 of the family's 1478-position model. The record is from RNAcentral.